Molecule: long non-coding RNA, 521 nt
Filed under: Capsicum annuum
Lineage: Eukaryota; Viridiplantae; Streptophyta; Magnoliopsida; Solanales; Solanaceae
Description: long non-coding RNA (CANN_LNC005644)
Source: RNAcentral
UGCUACCUCCCACAAACACAAAUUCUUACAUACAACUUCAACUCACUAAUAAAAAACCCACAAUUCAAACAAACAAACAUAACAAGAAAAACUUUGUAAACACCACAACAAAGACAACACAAUAACUAGGUAGAGAAAUUACGAGCAAUAGGCUGAAUGGGAUUUCUUGAAAGACACAGAACAUGUAGGAGGAGAGCUCAAAUGGGUGGUUAAAAUUAAUCCCGAGAUUGGUUAUUCCUUAUCCCUCGUACCAAACAAGCCCUCAUUAAUAAAACCCCAUAAAUUCAGACAACAAACAAAACAUAUCCCUCGUACCAAACAAGCUCUCAUUGAUAAAACCCCACAAAUUCAGACAACAACACUUUAUAAACACCAGAACAAAGAAAAAACACAAAAGGGGUAGAGAAAUUACGAGCAACAGGUUGAAGGGGUUUCUUGGAAGGCACAGAAAGUUUAGCAGGAGAGCUCAAAUGGGUGGUUGAAAUCUUGAGACCACUCAAUUGGGAUGUCAUAAAACUCAA